RNAcentral lists this transfer RNA (72 nucleotides) under Ipomoea nil (Japanese morning glory). It matches the Rfam family "tRNA". From Rfam's summary of the family: Transfer RNA (tRNA) molecules are approximately 80 nucleotides in length. Their secondary structure includes four short double-helical elements and three loops (D, anti-codon, and T loops). Lineage: Eukaryota; Viridiplantae; Streptophyta; Magnoliopsida; Solanales; Convolvulaceae. The record is from Rfam by way of RNAcentral.
GGACGUUUGGUCUAGUGGUAUGAUUCUUGCUUUGGGUGCGAGAGGUCGUGAGUUCAAUUCUCACGACACCCC